GAUGAACGCUGGCGGCGUGCCUAAUACAUGCAAGUCGAGCGAACGGACGAGAAGCUUGCUUUUCUGAUGUUAGCGGCGGACGGGUGAGUAACACGUGGAUAACCUACUUAUAAGACUGGUAUAACUUCGGGAAACCGGAGCUAAUACCGGAUAAUAUUUUGAACCGCAUGGUUCAAAAGUGAAAGACGGUCUUGCUGUCUCUUAUAGAUGCAUCCGCGCUGCAUUAGCUAGUUGGUAAGGUAACGGCUUACCAAGGCAACGAUGCAUAGACGACCUGAGAGGGGGAUCGGCCACACGGGAAGUGAGACAGGGACAAGAGUCCUGCGGGAGGCAGCAGUAGGGAACCUGCCGCAACAGGCGAAAGCCUGACAGAACAACGCCGCGUGAGAUGUGACAGUCUUCGGAUCGUAAAGCUCUGUUAUUAGGGAAAAACAUAUGUGUCAGGAACUGUGCACAUCGUGACGGUACCUGAUCAAGAAGCCACGGCUAACUACGUG
This 497-nucleotide ribosomal RNA is filed under the name uncultured bacterium. RNAcentral's name for it is "partial 16S ribosomal RNA". It matches the Rfam family "Bacterial small subunit ribosomal RNA", at positions 28 to 507 of the family's 1533-position model. The record is from RNAcentral.